GACGAACGCUGGCGGCGUGCCUAAUACAUGCAAGUAGAACGCUGAAGGAGGAGCUUGCUUCUCUGGAUGAGUUGCGAACGGGUGAGUAACGCGUAGGUCACCUGCCUGGUAGCGGGGGAUAACUAUUGGAAACGAUAGCUAAUACCGCAUAAUAGUAGAUGUUGCAUGACAUUUGCUUAAAAGCUGCAUUUGCAUCACUACCAGAUGGACCUGCGUUGUAUUAGCUAGUUGGUGGGGUAACGGCUCACCAAGGCGACGAUACAUAGCCGAGCUGGAAGGGAGGAUGGCCAACACUGGAACGGGAAAAGGGCCAGACUUCCAAGGGAGGGAGCAGUAGGGAAACAUCGGCAAUGGAGGGAAAUCUGGACGAGCAACGGCGGGGGGGUGAAGGAGGUUUUUGGAACGGAAAGGCCUGUUGUAAGAGAAGAACGAGCGUGAGGGUGGAAAGUUCACAUUGUGACGGUACCAUAAGAGAAAGGGACGGCUAACUACGUG
This 495-nucleotide ribosomal RNA is filed under the name uncultured bacterium. Its description in RNAcentral is "partial 16S ribosomal RNA". It matches the Rfam family "Bacterial small subunit ribosomal RNA", at positions 28 to 507 of the family's 1533-position model. The record is from RNAcentral.